CCUACGGGAGGCAGCAGUGAGGAAUAUUGGUCAAUGGCCGCAGGGCUGAACCAGCCAAGUCGCGUGAGGGAUGACGGUCCUAUGGAUUGUAAACCUCUUUUGUCAGGGAGCAAAGGGCGCCACGUGUGGCGUUUUGCGAGUACCUGAAGAAAAAGCAUCGGCUAACUCCGUGCCAGCAGCCGCGGUAAUACGGAGGAUGCGAGCGUUAUCCGGAUUUAUUGGGUUUAAAGGGUGCGCAGGCGGAAUGUCAAGUCAGCGGUAAAAUUUCGGGGCUCAACCCCGUCGGGCCGUUGAAACUGGCGGUCUUGAGUGGGCGAGAAGUAUGCGGAAUGCGUGGUGUAGCGGUGAAAUGCAUAGAUAUCACGCAGAACUCCGAUUGCGAAGGCAGCAUACCGGCGCUCAACUGACGCUCAUGCACGAAAGCGUGGGUAUCGAACAGGAUUAGAUACCCUGGUAGUC
RNAcentral lists this ribosomal RNA (459 nucleotides) under uncultured bacterium. Its description in RNAcentral is "partial 16S ribosomal RNA". It matches the Rfam family "Bacterial small subunit ribosomal RNA", at positions 338 to 795 of the family's 1533-position model. The record is from RNAcentral.